UUUUGUAACGUGGAAAAGCGUGAAAUUCGCCGUUAGUCGGUGCCAAAUCGUGACCGCGUUCGCACACAACCAGCACGAUCCCGGGAUAAUCGAACUACUGUGAGUGUGAGCUAGUGAGUGAGUGGAGUUGAAGUAACCCAUAAUAAAAAAGUCCUUUUUAAAUUAAGGGAAAAGGGUAACAUUAUCACGACAAGGAUGUGUUGGUGCUUUUAAGUGAAGCGUGUCCGUGUCCGUGAAAGAUUUGUCUGGUUGCUGCAAGACAUGUGCGGUGGAAUGAAGUCGAAACAAAUGUGCCAAAAGCUAUGGAAAACGAAAGCAAAGCAAGUGAAAACCUGUGCAAAAUGAAAGAAAAAUAUUAGAAAGUGAACAAAGCAAAUGAAAAAACGAAGAAAUUUAUGUGAAGUUUGUGCAGUUUUUGUUAAGUCAAAAAUAAAGUUUGAAG
Molecule: long non-coding RNA, 442 nt
Organism: Anopheles stephensi (Asian malaria mosquito)
Lineage: Eukaryota; Metazoa; Arthropoda; Insecta; Diptera; Culicidae
Exons: 2
Source: RefSeq, a predicted model, not a curated record